GUGAGGAAUAUUGGUCAAUGGGCGGGAGCCUGAACCAGCCAAGUCGCGCGAAGGAAGAAGGAUCUAUGGUUCGUAAACUUCUUUUGCAGGGGAAUAAAGUGCAGGACGUGUCCUGUUUUGUAUGUACCCUGAGAAUAAGGAUCGGCUAACUCCGCGCCAGCAGCCGCGGUAAUACGGAGGAUCCGAGCGUUAUCCGGAUUUAUUGGGUGUAAAGGGUGCGUAGGUGGUUUGAUAAGUCAGCGGUGAAAGUUUGCAGCUUAACUGUAAAAAUGCCGUUGGAACUGUCGGACUUGAGUGUAAAUGAGGUAGGCGGAAUGCGUGGUGUAGCGGUGAAAUGCAUAGAUAUCACGCAGAACUCCGAUUGCGAAGGCAGCUUACUAAGCUACAACUGACACUGAAGCACGAAAGCGUGGGGAUCAAACAGGAUUAGAAACCCGGGUAGUCC
Molecule: ribosomal RNA, 445 nt
Filed under: uncultured bacterium
Lineage: Bacteria
Description: partial 16S ribosomal RNA
Rfam family: Bacterial small subunit ribosomal RNA
Source: RNAcentral